GUACACUCCUGCGGGAGGCAGCAGUAGGGAAUCUUCGGCAAUGGGGGCAACCCUGACCGAGCAACGCCGCGUGAGUGAAGAAGGUUUUCGGAUCGUAAAGCUCUGUUGUAAGUCAAGAACGAGUGUGAGAGUGGAAAGUUCACACUGUGACGGUAGCUUACCAGAAAGGGACGGCUAACUACGUGCCAGCAGCCGCGGUAAUACGUAGGUCCCGAGCGUUGUCCGGAUUUAUUGGGCGUAAAGCGAGCGCAGGCGGUUUGAUAAGUCUGAAGUUAAAGGCUGUGGCUCAACCAUAGUUCGCUUUGGAAACUGUCAAACUUGAGUGCAGAAGGGGAGAGUGGAAUUCCAUGUGUAGCGGUGAAAUGCGUAGAUAUAUGGAGGAACACCGGUGGCGAAAGCGGCUCUCUGGUCUGUAACUGACGCUGAGGCUCGAAAGCGUGGGGAGCGAACAGGAUUAGAAACCCUAGUAGUCCCA
RNAcentral lists this ribosomal RNA (475 nucleotides) under uncultured organism. Its description in RNAcentral is "partial 16S ribosomal RNA". It matches the Rfam family "Bacterial small subunit ribosomal RNA", at positions 331 to 797 of the family's 1533-position model. The record is from RNAcentral.